Molecule: ribosomal RNA, 253 nt
Filed under: uncultured bacterium
Lineage: Bacteria
Description: partial 16S ribosomal RNA
Rfam family: Bacterial small subunit ribosomal RNA
Source: RNAcentral
CACGUAGGGUGCGAGCGUUGCCCGGAAUUAUUGGGCGUAAAGAGCUUGUAGGCGGUUUGUCGCGUCUGCUGUGAAAUCUCAAGGCUCAACCUUGAGCUUGCAGUGGGUACGGGCAGACUAGAGUGUGGUAGGGGAGACUGGAAUUCCCGGUGUAGUGGUGGAAUGCGUAGAUAUCGGGAGGAACACCAGUGGCGCAGGCGGCGUCCUGGACCGGCACUGACGCUGAGGAGCGAAAGCGUGGGGAGCGAUCCGG